Molecule: long non-coding RNA, 1461 nt
Filed under: Ficedula albicollis (Collared flycatcher)
Lineage: Eukaryota; Metazoa; Chordata; Aves; Passeriformes; Muscicapidae
Description: lncRNA (ENSFALG00000028107.1)
Source: RNAcentral
CUGGAGGUGCUAAAUGAGUAACCUCUGUACUGCUCCAUUAUUUACUGUACACGUGCCCUAGGAUAAGUGAAACUAAAAUAUGUGUUGCAGAACCAAAAGCCCAAACACAGUCAUUCUGAGGAGACAAACAUAUUUAUAGGUAUCUAUCUGAGAAUGUCUUUGCCCAGUUUUAGUGCAUACUUUGGCCAGAAGAAAUCCAAUCUUUAUGAAGUGCAAAGCACCGAAAAAUGAAAAAAAUAGGGAGUAGAAAAUCUGGACAAUUUACACAAAUUUAUGUAAAGAUUCUUUACAGUUUGAGCUUCUGAUUGCAUGUUAGAAAUGGCAGGGUCCUCACCAGUACUGUCCAUACUGCUUAAGUCCAUGAAAAGCCCUGUAAAUCUUGUCCCCUCCCUCUAUUGCACAGCUAGGGACCUUCAGCCAACACACUGAAUUAGUGAUUCAAUGACCUUCCACAAAAAGAACUUAAACAGCAAGCCUCAAGCUCUCUCUAUGAGGUAACAAUAUACCUUUGCCAUAUGCAUAACCCAGGAUCACAAUGAACUAAUACAGUUAACUAACUGCUACUUGCCCCUUUGGACAUCAGGAAUGAAACUGUGUCAUUAGUGUGUGUGCUGCUCUGCAAGGCAAAAAGUGAUGCCUCUGUGCCUGUUAAACGAGCUGAUGCUGACCUGCCUUCCUGACUUCAGUGUUCCAAAGAUGGGAUAUUUUAGCUGCCUGAGCUCUGAAUUAGUGAAUUUGGCCUGGUUGCCUGAGCAGCUCUCAGGCUGGACUUUGUGUGCAGGUCCAUGUGUUACACAGCAGUGCACCCACAACCCCAACACCUGAAUCUCACAACACAGUCAUAUUAAGAAUGAUAAUCAACUGGAGUAUCUAUUGACAAUUUUUCCAUCAGGGAUAACAUCAGAAAAACUGAUCAAUUUUUGCAAGAAAUACAGUGUAAUUUUAAUGUCAAAAAGCCCAUUCAGAUAGGAAAGUAAAGAAACUGUUAAUAUCAAGAAGUAGUUUCCAUAGACUAAGACCUUCCAGCAGGAGUGAAUUGCCUUCAUAGUGUAUUUUAGUACUUUUAGGGCUUUUUCUCUCCCUCAGAUCUCAGCAAAGAGCUACAGCUGAUGAGGGUGGACUCAUUCUGUAGGUAGUGUCCACAUGGUUCGAAAUUAUGGUAGAACAGAUUAGUAGCUAUGACAAAUAGGAAGGAAAAGAGUUAAAAAAAAAAAACAACAAGCAUCUAAAUAGUGACAAUCAGACAGUUUUGUUAGUAUUGUCAUGGGUUUUGCCAUGAUAACCUCUGCAGUGAUGUCUACAAGAGCAACAGAAUGCUCCAUGUGUUGUAAGAUGGUCUCUUAUUCACAGUAUCUUGGUUCAAGCUAGGAAGUUUGAAAUCCUUGGAUUUUUUGGGUAGCUAUGACAAAUAGGAAGGAAAAGAGUUAAAAAAAAAAAACAACAAGCAUCUAAAUAGUGACA